Long non-coding RNA from Cyprinus carpio (common carp), 889 nucleotides. RefSeq lists it as uncharacterized. The transcript has 3 exons. Lineage: Eukaryota; Metazoa; Chordata; Actinopteri; Cypriniformes; Cyprinidae. The record is from RefSeq and is a predicted model, not a curated record.
CAUUUACAUGGGCAACCUUUGUCUUAAUCAAAAUACAAUCAUUCUAAACGUAGUGUUUAUAUGACCGGAUGAAUGAAGUAAGUGGUGGUGACUGACACUUGUGAUCACCAAUCAGCAAAGAGUUUUUUUUUUCUAUUUUAGAGCUGGUUAGUUGCAGCUUGUGAUGCGUCACGUCCAGAGUCUCCCCUUUCUGUUGGUUUUGAGGGAGGCUUUAGUUGCUUCAGUAGAAGCUUUGUUUGGGGCUUGACGAUUGGCAGGUGGAGUAAUGUGCAGUUCCCUGUACUUCAGUUUAGCAGCGGGUUAUAUGAAGGCUGUGUAUCCUGGCCUGUGAACAGAUUAUAGAGCACAUUAUUCUUGUUUGGAUUCUCCCUUUUGUUCUGGUCGAUUAUUGUUGCAGCUCUGUCGUUUUUCUGCUGUCGUGCUGAAAGAAUGCUGUUACCUUGCAACUAAUAAAGGGAUUGCUGCUAUUUUUUUAUUUCUUUGAUUUCUAGUUAAUUUUCUUCGGGAUGGAGGAUUGUUUAUUUGAUGACCAGAGCUGGCGUACAGAAUUCGUGGAAGACAGAAUCCGCGUAGAGCAACCGCGUAGUUUGAACUGAGUUGUUUUUUUUUUUUUCAUCUUUUUUCUUUUGAAAAUUUGUGUAUUAUUGAUUGUGAAGUAUGUUGUUGAUUUUUUUUUUUUUUUACCUAGCAUUGUUUGUUUUAUGCUGAAACUGUAACAUAAUUUCACUGUGAUUUUUAUUUACUUCUGUUUAUAAUUUUUUUUUGUUGUGUAAAUUAGUCUUUAUGUAACAUGUUUUCCUUUGGUUGUUUUUCUUUUUCUGUGUUUAUUCUUUGAAUUCUUUGCCAGUCACUGCCUCUUUAACAGUGAGUAUUUUAUAUAUAUAUAUAU